RNAcentral lists this ribosomal RNA (612 nucleotides) under Enaria boissayei. RNAcentral describes it as "partial 16S large subunit ribosomal RNA". It matches the Rfam family "Bacterial large subunit ribosomal RNA", at positions 1844 to 2737 of the family's 2925-position model. The record is from RNAcentral. Lineage: Eukaryota; Metazoa; Arthropoda; Insecta; Coleoptera; Scarabaeidae.
UUUAAAGUCUGACCUGCCCAAUGAGGAUUUAAAUGGCCGCGGUAUUUUGACCGUGCAAAGGUAGCAUAAUCAUUAGUUUUUUAAUUGGAAGCUGGAAUGAAUGGUUGGACGAGGGAAUAACUGUCUCAAUUUGAUUUAAUUAGAAUUUUAUUUUUAAGUAAAAAAGCUUAAAUGUAUUUAAAAGACGAGAAGACCCUAUAGAGUUUAAUAUUUUAUUUAAUUGAAUUUUUAAGAAUUAAUUUUAUUAGUUAAUUAAAAGUAUUUUGUUGGGGUGACAGAAAAAUUAAGUUAACUUUUUUUAUAUUUAAUCAUUAAUUGGUGGUUGGCUGAUCCGUUUAAGAACGAUUAUAAGAUCAAAUUACCUUAGGGAUAACAGCGUAAUUUUUUUUGAGAGUUCUUAUCGAAAAAAGAGUUUGCGACCUCGAUGUUGGAUUAAAAUUAAUUUUUGGUGUAGAAGCUGAAAUAUUGGGUCUGUUCGACCUUUAAAAUUUUACAUGAUCUGAGUUUAAACCGGCGUAAGCCAGGUUGGUUUCUAUCUUUAAAAAUAUAAAAUAUUUUAGUACGAAAGGACCAAAUAUUUAUAAUAUUUAUUUGUUUUUGAUCAUUAUUAAG